This 253-nucleotide ribosomal RNA is filed under the name uncultured bacterium. RNAcentral's name for it is "partial 16S ribosomal RNA". It matches the Rfam family "Bacterial small subunit ribosomal RNA", at positions 524 to 776 of the family's 1533-position model. The record is from RNAcentral.
UACGAAGGGGGCUAGCGUUGUUCGGAAUUACUGGGCGUAAAGGGCUGGUAGGCGGCCAACUAAGUCCGACGUGAAAUCCCAAGGCUUAACCUUGGAACUGCGUCGGAUACUGGAUGGCUUGAAUUCGGGAGAGGGAUGCGGAAUUCCAGGUGUAGCGGUGAAAUGCGCAGAUAUCAGGAAGAACACCCGUGGCGAAGGCGGCUCUCUGGGACGGUACUGACGCUGAGACGCGAAAGCGUGGGGAGCGAACAGG